UACGUAGGGCGCAAGCGUUGUCCGGAAUUAUUGGGCGUAAAGAGCUCGUAGGCGGUCUGUCACGUCUGCCGUGAAAACCCGAGGCUUAACCUCGUGGCUUGCGGUGGAUACGGGCAGACUAGAGGUAGGUAGGGGAGAACGGAAUUCCCGGUGUAGCGGUGAAAUGCGCAGAUAUCGGGAGGAACACCGGUGGCGAAGGCGGUUCUCUGGGCCUUACCUGACGCUGAGGAGCGAAAGCAUGGGGGAGCGAACAGG
RNAcentral lists this ribosomal RNA (255 nucleotides) under uncultured bacterium. Its description in RNAcentral is "partial 16S ribosomal RNA". It matches the Rfam family "Bacterial small subunit ribosomal RNA", at positions 524 to 776 of the family's 1533-position model. The record is from RNAcentral.